RNAcentral lists this ribosomal RNA (497 nucleotides) under uncultured bacterium. RNAcentral's name for it is "partial 16S ribosomal RNA". It matches the Rfam family "Bacterial small subunit ribosomal RNA", at positions 28 to 507 of the family's 1533-position model. The record is from RNAcentral.
GAUGAACGCUGGCGGCGUGCCUAAUACAUGCAAGUCGAGCGAACAGACGAGGAGCUUGCUCCUCUGACGUUAGCGGCGGACGGGUGAGUAACACGUGUAUAACCUACCUAUAAGACUGGGAUAACUUCGGGAAACCGGAGCUAAUACCGGAUAACAUGUUGAACCGCAUGGUUCAACAGUGAAAGACGGUCUUGCUGUCACUUAUAGAUGGAUCCGCGCCGCAUUAGCUAGUUGGUAAGGUAACGGCUUACCAAGGCAACGAUGCGUAGCCGACCUGAGAGGGUGAUCGGCCACACUGGAACUGAGACACGGUCCAGACUCCUACGGGAGGCAGCAGUAGGGAAUCUUCCGCAAUGGGCGAAAGCCUGACGGAGCAACGCCGCGUGAGUGAAGAAGGUCUUCGGAUCGUAAAACUCUGUUAUUAGGGAAGAACAAAUGUGUAAGUAACUAUGCACGUCUUGACGGUACCUAAUCAGAAAGCCCCGGCUAACUACGUG